AAGUAAGAUUCUAAACUAGUAUUUAAUUUCGACUUAAACUUUGAAGUAACCCAGCCUUCCUUACUUA
RNAcentral lists this transfer RNA (67 nucleotides) under Hydroptila sp. XG-2021. RNAcentral's name for it is "tRNA-Arg". Lineage: Eukaryota; Metazoa; Arthropoda; Insecta; Trichoptera; Hydroptilidae. The record is from RNAcentral.